AUACAGAGGGUGCGAGCGUUAAUCGGAAUUACUGGGCGUAAAGCGCGCGUAGGCGGUUAUUUAAGUCAGAUGUGAAAUCCCUGGGCUCAACCUAGGAACCGCAUCUGAAACUGGGUAACUAGAGUUUAGGAGAGGGGAGUAGAAUUUCGGGUGUAGCGGUGAAAUGCAUAGAGAUCCGAAGGAAUACCAGUGGCGAAGGCGACUCCCUGGACUCGAACUGACGCUGAGGUACGAAAGCGUGGGUAGCAAACGGGAUUAGAUACCCUUGUAGUCC
This 274-nucleotide ribosomal RNA is filed under the name uncultured bacterium. Its description in RNAcentral is "partial 16S ribosomal RNA". It matches the Rfam family "Bacterial small subunit ribosomal RNA", at positions 523 to 796 of the family's 1533-position model. The record is from RNAcentral.